ACCCAACAGCUAGCCCCCACCCCAAAAAACAACAACUCCUCAUCAAUAACCCCAAAAACACGAACACACCAUAAACAAACCAUUUUUCCCCCCCAGUAUAGGUGAUAGAAAAGGGCCCCGGAGCCAUAGAAAAAGUACCGCAAGGGAACGCUGAAAGAGAAAUGAAACAACCCAGUAAAGCUUAAAAAAGCAGAGAU
RNAcentral lists this ribosomal RNA (197 nucleotides) under Pomadasys hasta. RNAcentral's name for it is "partial 16S ribosomal RNA". The record is from RNAcentral. Lineage: Eukaryota; Metazoa; Chordata; Actinopteri; Lutjaniformes; Haemulidae.